GUUGGGGUAGCUCAGUCAUUAGAGUGUGAGACUCUUAAUCUCAGGGUUGUGGGUUCGAGCCCCACACUGGGCA
Podarcis lilfordi (Lilford's wall lizard) is the source of this 73-nucleotide non-coding RNA. Lineage: Eukaryota; Metazoa; Chordata; Lepidosauria; Squamata; Lacertidae. The record is from the annotation of a GenBank genome assembly.